GACGAACGCUGGCGGCGUGCUUAACACAUGCAAGUCGAACGAAGAGCGAUGGAAGCUUGCUUCUAUCAAUCUUAGUGGCGAACGGGUGAGUAACGCGUAAUCAACCUGCCCUUCAGAGGGGGACAACAGUUGGAAACGACUGCUAAUACCGCAUACGAUCUAACCUCGUCAUCGAGUAUAGAUGAACGGUGGCCUCUACAUGUAAGCUAUCACUGAAGGAGGGGAUUGCGUCUGAUUAGCUAGUUGGUAGGGUAACGGCCCACCAAGGCGACGAGGCGUAGCCGACCGGAGAGGGUGAUCGGCCAAACUGGAACUGAGACACGGUCCAGACUCCUACGGGAGGCAGCAGUAGGGAAUCUUCCGCAAGGGGCGAAAGCCUGACGGAGCAACGCCGCGGGAGGGAUGAAGGUCUUCGGAUCGUAAAACUCUGUUAUUAGGGAAGAACAAAUGUGUAAGUAACUAUGCACGUCUUGACGGUACCGAAUCAGAAAGCCACGGCUAACUACGUG
This 509-nucleotide ribosomal RNA is filed under the name uncultured bacterium. Its description in RNAcentral is "partial 16S ribosomal RNA". It matches the Rfam family "Bacterial small subunit ribosomal RNA", at positions 28 to 507 of the family's 1533-position model. The record is from RNAcentral.